GGCCCUAUAGCUCAAUGGAUAGAGCCCAGGACUUCUAAUCCUGCCAUGAUGGUUCGAUUCCGUCUAGGGUCA
This 72-nucleotide transfer RNA is filed under the name Spirochaetaceae bacterium. RNAcentral describes it as "tRNA-Arg". It matches the Rfam family "tRNA". From Rfam's summary of the family: Transfer RNA (tRNA) molecules are approximately 80 nucleotides in length. The record is from RNAcentral. Lineage: Bacteria; Pseudomonadati; Spirochaetota; Spirochaetia; Spirochaetales; Spirochaetaceae.